UAUGUCAAGAUUGACGUCUAGCAAUAUAUCAUGUGAAGGAAAACAUCAUGGGUGAUGUACAUGCAUUUUUAAAAAUUUUAUAGUAGAACAUACAUAGAUUAAAUAAUUUAAUUUAUAACAUAUGCAUAGAUCAAAUCUAAAUUACCAUACAGAAUUUAUGACAUAAACUAAUAUGUAUGUAUACACAUCUAAAAUCUAAAAUUCAGCAAGUAUAAAAUAUAUCUAAUUUAUAUUUAGAUCAUAUCUAAAUAUUAAUUGAAUUCAAAACUUCAUACCUA
RNAcentral lists this long non-coding RNA (278 nucleotides) under Elaeis guineensis (African oil palm). RNAcentral describes it as "long non-coding RNA (EGUI_LNC014590)". Lineage: Eukaryota; Viridiplantae; Streptophyta; Magnoliopsida; Arecales; Arecaceae. The record is from RNAcentral.